Long non-coding RNA from Zingiber officinale, 779 nucleotides. RefSeq lists it as uncharacterized. The transcript has 2 exons. NCBI's taxonomy places the organism in Eukaryota, Viridiplantae, Streptophyta, Magnoliopsida, Zingiberales, Zingiberaceae. The record is from RefSeq and is a predicted model, not a curated record.
UUCCCUUCAUCACCCGCGUCGAUCCCUUCUCACAUCGCCGCCGCAUCUCCUUCCUCUUCCUCCUCGUUCUUCUCGGCACCGAUCAACGCUCGAGUGUUGACAGCCGAACUUCUCUUCCUCUUCCCCGAGCUCACGCCGACCCCUCCCCUUCUCCAUCGCGGUGCCGACGACACUCGAGCCACCGUCGAUCAAGCUCCUUCUUCCUUUUCCUCACGGACACCAGAAGCUCGCCGCCACGCGUGCCCUAGCAUUGAGCCUUCUCCGGGCAUCUCUGCCUGAAGCCGCCAUCUGGAUCGGUCGCCCUUACGAACAGCCAACCCUAGCGAGCUCCUCUCGGCCGUCAAGACGCCGAUUACUGCUAAGCCUUCUACCAUCGCCGAAGAGCUACCACCACUGGAGAUCGGGGCUCCAUCAGGCUAUCCCUUCUGGCAGCAAGGUCCAGUGAAUCAAUCAGGAAACAUCUAAGAUUCAGGUAACAGGUAGAUGAGUCAUAGAUGCUUGGAGAGUCUCGACUGCCAGUCCCACGUCACACACGAGGAUAGUUUCUUUUUGGAUUUUGUUACUGUUUGGGUGACAUGUUAAAUUUUGUGUAUUAUGCUUUUGAACAAGUCACUGUGGAUUUUUGGAGUUUAGUUUGGUGGUUGCAGGUAUUUUUGUUUGUGUCGUUGUGAGUCUUAUGUUCAUAUUAUUUUGUGUUUUCCGCUGCGUUUACGUUGUUGUGUGUUUACUUUCAGCCGUGUAGGCUUAUUAAAUUGCAUGGUUGUGUUUAUUUUGUUCUA